AUUGAACGCUGGCGGCAGGCCUAACACAUGCAAGUCGAACGGUAACAGGAAACAGCUUGCUGUUUCGCUGACGAGUGGCGGACGGGUGAGUAAUGUCUGGGAAACUGCCUGAUGGAGGGGGAUAACUACUGGAAACGGUAGCUAAUACCGCAUAACGUCGCAAGACCAAAGAGGGGGACCUUCGGGCCUCUUGCCAUCGGAUGUGCCCAGAUGGGAUUAGCUAGUAGGUGGGGUAACGGCUCACCUAGGCGACGAUCCCUAGCUGGUCUGAGAGGAUGACCAGCCACACUGGAACUGAGACACGGUCCAGACUCCUACGGGAGGCAGCAGUGGGGAAUAUUGCGCAAUGGGCGCAAGCCUGAUGCAGCCAUGCCGCGUGUAUGAAGAAGGCCUUCGGGUUGUAAAGUACUUUCAGCGGGGAUGAAGGGAGUAAAGUUAAUACCUUUGCUCAUUGACGUUACCCGCAGAAGAAGCACCGGCUAACUCCGUG
RNAcentral lists this ribosomal RNA (490 nucleotides) under uncultured bacterium. RNAcentral's name for it is "partial 16S ribosomal RNA". It matches the Rfam family "Bacterial small subunit ribosomal RNA", at positions 30 to 507 of the family's 1533-position model. The record is from RNAcentral.